ACAUGCCUACAACAUAACGUUAAUGCACCGAAUCCCAUUAGAACUCCAUAGUUAAGUGCGCUCAGGAUAGAGUAGUAUUCGGAUGGGUGACCACCUGGGAAGUCCUAGUGGUUUACAUGCA
Non-coding RNA from Picea glauca (white spruce), 121 nucleotides. The record is from Rfam. NCBI's taxonomy places the organism in Eukaryota, Viridiplantae, Streptophyta, Pinopsida, Pinales, Pinaceae.